GGGGAAGUGUGGAUUGGUGAGGUGUGGAUGGGUGAGGUGUGGAUGGGGGAAGUGUGGAUGGGGGAAGUGUGGAUGGGUGGGGUGUGGAUGGGGGAGGUGUGGAUGGGGGAGGUGGUUGUUGACUUGCUGUGAGAAAUUGAGCCGUAACGCUGUGCAGCGUAUUGGCUGACGACGGGCGACUGAAUGUGAUCUUCCUCCAUAGGAGCUUGCGGCUGUGACAAGUAGAGGAAAACCAAAAGAUUAUGUAAGUAAGCCUCACAGUUAAUGGCACCUACAAGAAGUAACAAAUAAACAACAUUACCGUAUGGUGAGAGAUAUCAGCUUGUGGCCCCGUCUGGCAUACAUCGUGGGAAGAGACAGGAACGUUGUCGUUUGUUGGUUCAGUCUGACAUCCUUUGUGUGCAAAAGCAGUUUUGCCUUUCUUUACUAAUCCUUCUCCGAGAAGAGUGUUGAAGGCAGAGCGCUUGAACGAAGUUGUAGUCUUCUUGCGCUUAAGCAAUUUGCGAAGCAGCUUUGACUCCUUUUGAAGCUUGGAUACUUGAUCUGAAAUUGCAGUCAGGAGCUCCAGUAUUUUGUCGUUUGAUAUCCUGGAAGAAGACGCGGCAUGAAAGUAACUACUGAUGCGUCUCUGCUUGCGGACCGUGUCUUUUUUCUUUGAUGUCUUCCUUGGUUUGAGGACCUUUUUGGUGACUGGUUUGGCAUUUUUGGGAGGUGCUUCCGGCUUGAUCUUCUUAGAUUUGGGUUGAUCUUCAUCAUUUGUAGCAGUAGUGAUUAAUGGCGCAGAUGUGUCUCCACCAUGCCAAAGGUCCUUCGUGAAGGGGCGAUGGUCAGCUAUAAGUUGCUCCAUGUAUGACACACGGUCGUCGUUUGAGACAUCAGGCCAAACACCCCAUCCAGGUUGUGGUUGGCUAUGUAUUGGUAUCAACGGUGUCACUUGAAGCUGAAGUUUAUCAAAACAUUAACAAAAAUGUCAAGACUUCAGAAAAUAACAGCAAGACAAAAUUAUAAGAGAGUGUAGUAUGUAGCUUACAUCAGGGUCAGCUUCCACACUUAUAAUAUCGCUGGCGCUGGGCGCUGGAUAGGAAGGAAGAUUAGGGCCGUCGAGGUCCAUGAUUGUACGAGAAUCAAACGGGAUGGGAAUGGUUGACUGAAGUUUUGGGAUCGCCUGGUAUGCAAGGAGUUGUAGUGCAAGGGGGAAUCCCCUAAGCCUCAAUGACUCCUGCUUGAGGAGCUGAACCAUUGCUUCGAUUGGGUCCUGACAUUUCUUUGGGACGAACUUCGGAGGUUUCAUGCAGACAAUGGUCUUGAUAAAAGACUCUCUACCCCAAGGAUGUGAGCAGAAAGUGUCAACGUCUUGGACCAUUCUGACAUAUUUCAGAGUAGGGCGUGGCGUUUGUUGAUGAGCAAUGAGGACACCAUCGACUAUUAUUAUCAAAGCAAGCUGUAGCUUCUUUUUCCCCGGCAUGUUCUUAUCGGUCUCCAGCUUGUUACGCAAAUCAGCAAUGGUUGUGAAUCUCUUUUUCCCUAUCAACUUGAUCCAAUCAGGGUCUUUGUUUGCUUGAGACUCGUCUUCUUUAUCAAGGGUGUAUCCAACAGGGAAAGCUCCACAAGGCAAACCGGUAAUGGUGCCAAACUCUUGGAGGCCGAACUUGAUUGGAUCACUUGUGUGUGUUUGUCCGCACAAACUAGUUGUCUGGUCAACAUGGCGUGUAUCAGUUUACCCGAAGACGGACAUUGACGGGCUGGGAGGUCAAAUAACUUCCCGAAGCAAGAGCUCCUAAUAUACUCGAACUCUUCGGUGCCUCGAAGAACAUGACGGAUGAAAGCUAGAAGCUCUGGCUUUGAGUAAAUGUUGUGGCGUCCAAUCGGGAAACGGUCGGUGGCGAAUAGUCUCGGUGGGAGACGGUGGUCCGGUUGAUUGUUGCCUGAAAAAAACCGACGGAACAAAUUAGGAAAAAACUUUAACGGCGGAAUCGAUUUUCUGGGUUUGAACAAAACAUAAACAAAAACCCUAAAGGGGUCGAUUAAGAUGUAAUAUAAACAUAUAAUACUGGAUCUGAACAAAAUAGAUGUAUAUUAGACGAAAACAAACCUUGCAUGACUUGAUGUAGAGGUACAGAAAACGACGGCGGCGGAUGCGAUAGAUUCAGCGGAUGUCAGAGAACGGCGGAGUGACGGAGCUUGUGUGAAGAACGGAAGGAGAUGAAAGGAUCUAUGGAGCUCACUUUCGAAGGAGAGACUGUGAAGAAUUAGUUGUAGGGUUUGGUCGAAAUCGCCGCAAGGCGGAGUGACAGAGAUUGUGUGAAGAAGGGAAAGAGAUGAAAGGAUCUAGCUGGAACCGUCGAAGGAGAGACUGUGAAGAGAGUAGUUCUAGGGUUUGGUCGAAAUCGCCGCAAGGAGGCGUGAGAGAAAGAGAGAGAGAGAAUCGUAAAAGAGAGAGAAAUGUGUAAAUUUGAAUUAGAAAUUGGUUUGGUACAAAGACAUAAACCGAUGUAUAAGAUUUUGUUCUGGUUUGGUUUUUCUACUUUCUCUACCAUAAGGGUAUAGAAGACAAUGACUAAGGAAGAAGUAUGUGACAUGUGCAAUGUGUCUUAGAGAGUAAAUUCAAAGACAUAAAGUGUCUUAGAAGGUAAAAAAUUCAA
RNAcentral lists this long non-coding RNA (2642 nucleotides) under Brassica rapa (field mustard). Its description in RNAcentral is "long non-coding RNA (BRAP_LNC002616)". Lineage: Eukaryota; Viridiplantae; Streptophyta; Magnoliopsida; Brassicales; Brassicaceae. The record is from RNAcentral.